RNAcentral lists this ribosomal RNA (253 nucleotides) under uncultured bacterium. RNAcentral describes it as "partial 16S ribosomal RNA". It matches the Rfam family "Bacterial small subunit ribosomal RNA", at positions 524 to 776 of the family's 1533-position model. The record is from RNAcentral.
UACGGAGGGAGCUAGCGUUGUUCGGAAUUACUGGGCGUAAAGCGCGCGUAGGCGGCUUUGUAAGUUAGAGGUGAAAGCCCGGGGCUCAACCCCGGAAUUGCCUUUAAGACUGCAUCGCUUGAAUCCGGGAGAGGUGAGUGGAAUUCCGAGUGUAGAGGUGAAAUUCGUAGAUAUUCGGAAGAACACCAGUGGCGAAGGCGGCUCACUGGACCGGUAUUGACGCUGAGGAGCGAAAGCGUGGGGAGCGAACAGG